RNAcentral lists this long non-coding RNA (1120 nucleotides) under Amphibalanus amphitrite. RNAcentral's name for it is "uncharacterized LOC122365608". The record is from RNAcentral. Lineage: Eukaryota; Metazoa; Arthropoda; Thecostraca; Balanomorpha; Balanidae.
GAACAUCUCUAUAAUGCCUCAGUGCUUCCGGUCCUUCCUUUCUCGAAAGCACUGCGAAGGCUGCCGGCAGCGUGGUUGUUCCUUUCGCGAGUUGGUGUCUGGCGCACAGCGCGAACGUCUCAUGAGCAAGAAGCCGUAGAGACGAUGCUCUCAAUGUUGGACACCGAAGUGAGGCAACUCAUCGGGCACAACGCCAAAAUGUCCCUGUUGUGUCCUGGCCUGGGUCACGCGUGUCGCGCCUUGACAGCCGUGGCCCGUGACCUUGAACGACCUUGACCGGCCGGGCCGGGCCGAGCGGCCGAGGGUCAGUAUCGUCCGAGCGGCGCUGGUGUCAACACAGAUGAGUGCCGCGAGGUGAGGUGAGGCGUGUUCGCCGAGACGGUCCGGCCACAGUGAAAUAGUGAAAUAGUGGUGUAAUCGAUAAUAUGCGUGGCCAGUACGCGAGUGAGAUUGACCCUGUGCGCGACACCGAUUCAGAGACGCACAUAAGUUAACACCGUCGUGUCGGAUCGCUCGUACCGGUGAUGGGAGACAACGAGCAGCUGGAGCGUCUGAUGGCGCUCAUGGUUCAGCAGUCAGCAGGCUGCCAUGCUGGAGUAGCUCCUCCCCAGCCAGAUGUACCAGCUGCGCAAACUGUCUAGAGCGGCCAACCGGCUGUCGUCGCCUCCGCCGCUCCUAUGGCUAGACUUCGGUCUCGCAUGGACUCCCGUCGGUAGUGUUCACAUGCCAGCCCAUACAUUUUACCUGUAUUAACUUUUUAAUGUCUGUGUCUAUGUAACUAUUUUACGUGCCUGUACUUAACAGUGUUUGAAUUGUACAUCGUUCGCACAGUCUGUGGACCAUGGGGAGCGCCGCUUGACAUGCAUUUUUGCACUUACCUGCAUUCCGUGUUAAAAGUAAAGUAAAGGGACUGAGCUGUCGUGCACCGGGAGAUAUUAUGGUCUCUUGCUAAACGACUCAGUUGAAACUCAGCACGCCGGUCGGUACUGACUGGGGCGGCACGCGAAAGGGUUUGGGCAGCUUUUGAAACAAAAUGUUCGCAUCGAAUGACUGCAUCGCAUGUUCUGUUCCAGAGUGAGUUUUUUGACAUCUGACAUAAUAAAUAUACAUGCCUGUUCUU